AGUUACCUUGCCCAAUGGCUAUAAGGUUAAGGUAACAUGCACUGGUUCCAUCCAAUUCCUUUGUUUCACUCUUCAUCAUGUCCUUUACAUUCCCAGUUUUCACUACAAUCUCAUUUCUGUGUCCAAACUUGUAUGUCAGUUGAAUUCUAUUGUUCUAUUUACUAAAUUCUCUUGUUUAAUACAUGCCCCUUCUCUGAAGAGGCCACUGGAGAUUGGUAAAUUGGACGAUGGUCUCUACAGGCUUGUGAAAUCUUCUUCCCUUAUAACUCUUGAUCCUUGUAAACAACAUGCUCCAUUACCUGUUAAUUCUGUUUCUUAUUCUCAUUGUACAUACCAUUCUGAAUUGAAUAAAAUGGAGAUGUUAUGGCACAAUAGACUAGGGCAUAUACCUUUUCUUAGAAUGAAAGACAUGCCUUUUAUACCAUGUAGUUUUUCCACAAAGCAGCCUUUUCGCUGUACUAUAUGCCUUUUGGCAUGGCAAUCUAGAUUACCCUUUCCUGACAGCUCCAUUAAAACAACUCAUGCUUUUCAACUGAUUCAUGUUGAUACAUGGGGUCCCUAUGCCACUUCUACUCAUAAUGGUUGUAGAUAUUUUUUGACAAUAGUUGAUGAUUUUAUCAGAGCUACUUGAACCCAUCUUAUGGGGUCCAAGAGCAAUGCCUUUCCUCUCAUUAAAGCCUUCAUUUAGAGCUACUUGGACCCAUCUUAUGGGGUCCAAGAGCAAUGCCUUUCCUCUCAUUAAAGCCUUCAUUUCCAUGGUUAAAACUCAAUUCCAGUAUGUGGUACAAACCAUUAUGAGUGAUAAUGCAUUUUGAACUAGGUUCUAGUGGCUGUGGCAGCACCUUCUUUGCUGAACAUGGCAUACUGCAUCAAACUUCUUGCUCUCACACACCACAACAAAAUGGUGUUGUUGAGAGAAAGCAUAGAUAUCUGCUAGAAACCUCCAGAGCUCUUCUCUUUCAUUCUCACUUACCCAUUAGAUUUUGGGGUGACUAUGUGCGUACUGCCACAUACCUGAUUAACAGAUUUCCUUCCAAACUACUCAACAACAAAUCCCCUUUUGAAUUGCUGUUUGGCCAGAUUCCUUCCUACAAGCACCUUAAAACAUUUGGUUGCUCAUGUUUUGCCUCUGUCCCUAAACAGAAUAGAGAUAAAUUCCAGCCUAGAGUUGAGCACCUUAAAACAUUCGGUUGCUUAUGUUCUGCCUCUGUCCCUAAACAGAAUAGAGAUAUAUUCCAACCCAGAGCUGAUCCCUAUGUUUUCCUGGCUUACCCUUUGGCUAAAAAGGGUUACAAGCUGUAUAACUUGAAGUCUAAGAUCACCCUGAUAUCCAGGGAUGUCAUUUUUCAUGAGGAUGUAUUUCCUUUUGCCUCUCCAAGGACUUCUUCCCAUGCCUCUUUUCCUCUUGUCAAUCCUCCUUCUGCCUGGGUUCCUCCUGUUGAUGACUCUCCGAAUAAUCUCUCUUUUCCUCCUGUCAAUCCUCCUUCUACCUGGGUUCCUCCUAUUGAUGACUCUCUUCCUAAUCCUUCCUAUUCUUCCACUUAUCAACCUCUUGCCUCCUCCUCUUCCCCACCUUCCUCUCCAUCACCUACUUCUUCAGUGCCUUCUUCAUCUGCUCCCAGAAGAUCCGCUAGGGCGCAUGUCCUUCUUGCCCACCUGCAGAAGUAUAUCUGCACUCUCCCUCCUUCUUUUUCUGGUCCCGGUGCUUCUUCCACCUGUCUUCACACCUUGGUUAGCUGUCCAGAAGCAGAACCUACCACCUAUCAGCAAGCUGCUUCUAUUCCUGCCUAGCAUGAGGCUAUGUGCAAGGAAUUUGCAGCUUUGGAGGCCAAUCAUACCUGGUCAAUAGUUCCCCUUCCCCCUGGUAAAAGACCUAUUGGUUGCAAGUGGGUGUAUAAGAUCAAAUAUAGGGCUGAUGGGUCUGUGGAAAGACAUAA
RNAcentral lists this long non-coding RNA (1937 nucleotides) under Nicotiana benthamiana. RNAcentral describes it as "long non-coding RNA (NBEN_LNC034273)". The record is from RNAcentral. Lineage: Eukaryota; Viridiplantae; Streptophyta; Magnoliopsida; Solanales; Solanaceae.